UACGUAGGGUGCAAGCGUUAAUCGGAAUUACUGGGCGUAAAGCGUGCGCAGGCGGUUAUGCAAGACAGAGGUGAAAUCCCCGGGCUCAACCUGGGAACUGCCUUUGUGACUGCAUAGCUAGAGUACGGUAGAGGGGGAUGGAAUUCCGCGUGUAGCAGUGAAAUGCGUAGAUAUGCGGAGGAACACCGAUGGCAAAGGCAAUCCCCUGGACCUGUACUGACGCUCAUGCACGAAAGCGUGGGGAGCAAACAGG
Molecule: ribosomal RNA, 253 nt
Filed under: uncultured bacterium
Lineage: Bacteria
Description: partial 16S ribosomal RNA
Rfam family: Bacterial small subunit ribosomal RNA
Source: RNAcentral